RNAcentral lists this ribosomal RNA (258 nucleotides) under uncultured bacterium. RNAcentral describes it as "partial 16S ribosomal RNA". It matches the Rfam family "Bacterial small subunit ribosomal RNA", at positions 96 to 354 of the family's 1533-position model. The record is from RNAcentral.
UGGCGGACGGGUGAGUAACGCGUGGGCAACCUGCCUUACACAGGGGGACAACAGCUGGAAACGGCUGCUAAUACCGCAUAAGCGCACGGACUCGCAUGAGACAGUGUGAAAAACUCCGGUGGUGUAAGAUGGGCCCGCGUCUGAUUAGCUGGUUGGUGGGGUAACGGCCUACCAAGGCGACGAUCAGUAGCCGACCUGAGAGGGUGACCGGCCACAUUGGGACUGAGACACGGCCCAAACUCCUACGGAAGGCAGCAG